GGGAGUUUACAGGGGAGACCUAGACCGUGGCAGAAGAACCAACAGACGGGUCCAUGGUGUCCCACUAGCCAGAGCCAGGCAGGCGGCCAGCAGGAUGAGGGGCAGCAGUAACCGUAGGUGGGGUCUUCUCAUGGCCAUGGCUGUGUCUGUUGCUGGAUCGACCUGAAGUAAGGAGACAGUGCAAGGUACAGAAAAGGACAAACAGCUCGAAC
Mauremys reevesii (Reeves's turtle) is the source of this 212-nucleotide long non-coding RNA. RefSeq lists it as uncharacterized. The record is from RefSeq and is a predicted model, not a curated record. Lineage: Eukaryota; Metazoa; Chordata; Testudines; Geoemydidae. The transcript has 3 exons.